AUGAAGUUGGGGCUGAUCUUGGUUUUCCUUGUUGCUAUAUUCAAAGGUAUCCAGUGUGAGGUACAGCUGGUGGAGUCUGGGGGAGGCUUGGUGAAGCCUGGGGGAUCCCUUAGGCUCUCCUGUGCAGCCUCUGGUUCCACUUUCAGUGAUUAUGCAAUGAACUGGGUCCGUCAGGCUCCAGGGAAGGGGCUGGAAUGGGUGGCAGUUAUCGAAUAUGAUAGCAGUGAGAAAUACUACGCAGACUCUGUGAAGGGCAGAUUCACCAUCUCCAGAGACAAUGCCAAGAACGAGCUGUAUCUUCAAAUGAACAGCCUGAAUGUUGAUGACACAGCUACGUAUUACUGUGCAAGAGACACAGUGAGAGGACUUCAGUGUGUCCAUUGUGAGGAGCAGCUGGUGGAGUCUGGGAAGGAUUAUUGCACCUGCGAG
Molecule: non-coding RNA, 429 nt
Organism: Castor canadensis (American beaver)
Lineage: Eukaryota; Metazoa; Chordata; Mammalia; Rodentia; Castoridae
Source: the annotation of a RefSeq genome assembly